This is a long non-coding RNA of Mustela erminea (ermine), 746 nucleotides long. RefSeq lists it as uncharacterized. NCBI's taxonomy places the organism in Eukaryota, Metazoa, Chordata, Mammalia, Carnivora, Mustelidae. The transcript has 5 exons. The record is from RefSeq and is a predicted model, not a curated record.
CUAUGCUUUAAGAAUUGGGGCGGAUGAAAUUUUAAAACCCUUACCAGGUACCAAGCUACUGCUGUGAGGGAAAUCUCCUGUUCCAAGCCUACUUUUGGAUGCAGAGAACUCUCCACAUCUGGCUCUUAGCCUGACAGAAGUGAAUCACUAGGAUGCAGUAUUGUCAUAUGGAUCGAUCGCAGGGCCCUCCAGCCCUCCCAGGUUCCAGGAAGGCAUGGAAUCAUACUGUAUAUCCUAAAAUAUCUGUUGUGAUGCCUAAUAUGUAGCAACGACCCAAAUAUUUGAUAAAUGAAUGAACAAAAACAAUCACUGAGCCAUUAUUAGACCCAAGUCUAUGUUCUCGAAGCUGGUAUUUCAAUUUUAAAAAGUCCAUUCAAAAUUCUUAGCUGCCAAGAAGAAACUUGAGUAGUGUCUCAUGGAUCACAGACUGCCUGAAUUCUAGGGGGAUGUCCAGAUGAAAAACUCCUGUUUCAUGGAACACUCUUUUCCCAGGAGGAACCAAGGGUCAACCCACCUCAAGGCUCUCAACGAGGCAUCUCAAGCUCCCCAGAUUGGUCUUCUCCCAUCCCUCUUUCACUCUACUUGGCCUGGCGAACCUCAAAGCACCCUAGAGGUCUAAGAACACUUUGAAAUCAGCGGAACUCCCUACCAUACUUAUUUAUAGCUGAUUCUAUAUCUCUUUCAUUACACUCUUGAUAGAUGUAAUUCAAUAAUUAUUUGCAUAAUCUUCCAUUUAGUGUAGGUUG